Molecule: ribosomal RNA, 238 nt
Filed under: uncultured bacterium
Lineage: Bacteria
Description: partial 16S ribosomal RNA
Rfam family: Bacterial small subunit ribosomal RNA
Source: RNAcentral
CGGCGGACGGGUGAGUAACGCGUGGGUAGCCUGCCUCAUACAGGGGGAUAACAGUUAGAAAUGACUGCUAAUACCGCAUAAGACCACGGUACCGCAUGGUACAGUGGUAAAAACUCCGGUGGUAUGAGAUGGACCCGCGUCUGAUUAGGUAGUUGGUGGGGUAACGGCCUACCAAGCCGACGAUCAGUAGCCGACCUGAGAGGGUGACCGGCCACAUUGGGACUGAGACACGGCCCAA